This 492-nucleotide ribosomal RNA is filed under the name uncultured bacterium. RNAcentral describes it as "partial 16S ribosomal RNA". It matches the Rfam family "Bacterial small subunit ribosomal RNA", at positions 29 to 507 of the family's 1533-position model. The record is from RNAcentral.
AGUGAACGCUGGCGGUAGGCCUAACACAUGCAAGUCGAACGGCAGCACAGUAAGAGCUUGCUCUUACGGGUGGCGAGUGGCGGACGGGUGAGGCAUACAUCGGAAUCUACUUUUUCGUGGGGGAUAACGUAGGGAAACUUACGCUAAUACCGCAUACGACCUACGGCUGAAAGCAGGGGAUCUUCGGACCUUGCGCGAUUGAAUGAGCCGAUGUCGGGUUAGCUAGUUGGCGGGGUAAAGGCCCACCAAGGCGACGAUCCGUAGCUGGUCUGAGAGGAUGAUCGGCCACACUGGAACUGAGACACGGUCCAGACUCCUACGGGAGGCAGCAGUGGGGAAUAUUGGACAAUGGGCGCAAGCCUGAUCCAGCCAUACCGCGUGGGUGAAGAAGGCCUUCGGGUUGUAAAGCCCUUUUGUUGGGAAAGAAAAGCAGCAGGUUAAUACCCCGCUGUUCUGACGGUACCCAAAGAAUAAGCACCGGCUAACUUCGUG